GGAUGGGUGCCGGAGCGGUUUAACGGGUCGGUCUUGAAAAUCGAAGACGGUUCAUCCCGUCCGUGGGUUCGAAUCCCACCCCAUCCU
Molecule: transfer RNA, 87 nt
Filed under: Vulcanimicrobiota bacterium
Lineage: Bacteria; Bacillati; Vulcanimicrobiota
Description: tRNA-Ser
Rfam family: tRNA
About the family: Transfer RNA (tRNA) molecules are approximately 80 nucleotides in length. Their secondary structure includes four short double-helical elements and three loops (D, anti-codon, and T loops).
Source: RNAcentral